GGAUCCAGACUUUGAUUCUGGCUCAGAUUGAACGCUGGCGGCAGGCCUAACACAUGCAAGUCGAGCGGUAACAUUUCUAGCUUGCUAGAAGAUGACGAGCGGCGGACGGGUGAGUAACGCGUAGGAAUCUACCCAGUAGUGGGGGACAACAGUUGGAAACGACUGCUAAUACCGCAUACGCCCUACGGGGGAAAGGGGGCUUCGGCUCUCGCUAUUGGAUGAGCCUGCGUGAGAUUAGCUAGUUGGUAAGGUAAUGGCUUACCAAGGCAACGAUCUCUAGCUGGUUUGAGAGGAUGAUCAGCCACACUGGGACUGAGACACGGCCCAGACUCCUACGGGAGGCAGCAGUGGGGAAUAUUGCACAAUGGGCGCAAGCCUGAUGCAGCCAUGCCGCGUGUGUGAAGAAGGCCUUCGGGUUGUAAAGCACUUUCAGCAGUGAGGAAAGGUCAGUAGUUAAUACCUGCUGGCUGUGACGUUAACUGCAGAAAAAGCACCGGCUAACUCCGUGCCAGCAGCCGCGGUAAU
Molecule: ribosomal RNA, 525 nt
Filed under: uncultured bacterium
Lineage: Bacteria
Description: bacterial SSU rRNA
Rfam family: Bacterial small subunit ribosomal RNA
Source: RNAcentral